UGAAUUGGGUUCAAGCACGUUGGGUCUCAAGCAAAGCAACUUUCAAGUUUCAACCACUAAAAAAAUACUUUAAUGUUAGAAUUUUAACAUUUGUGCUACUGGAUCUGAAACUCUGAUCUAUUAUGGCUACCAAUAAGCUAGUUAUUGGAAAGGAAGCCUUUUUUUUAAGUUGACUUGAAGAUUUUAGAAUGUGAAUUGAAAGCUAUUGAAGAGUUAAUCUCAAAAGUUAACAGCCAAGUAAACAGAUUACAGAUUGAAUUAAUGGAUAUGCAACAUCAAAACAGACAAACUCAUUCCAAUAAUCCGACUACACGUGAUCAUCCAUAUGUUAUUCAAGUAUCUUCUGAAAUUGUUAUUCCAGUUGAAUCAGAAAGUCAGCAAAUUAAUGCAACAAAUCUUAAUCUGAGCGUGAAACCUGCUUUAGAACUCAGCAGUAACUCUGACUACGAAGAAAGUUCAGAAAAUGAGGAUUCAACAUAGCAAAUGCAAGAAAAAUGUACUCCUGUUCUCUAAGCAACCAUUAUUAUUUAAGAAAACCAAGGAACUGUCGAUAAAUUUAAUUCCAGCAUUCACCAUUACUGCAUUUGUACUCUAAGUCUUUCAGAAGUGACCGAAAUUGCUUUUGUAGUUCCACGGACAAAGAACUCACAUUUUUUAAUAUAUCCAGCCACCUAUGUACAAAAGUAUAAAUAAAUUCUCAAUCUUGUGAGUGGAAUACAUUGUUUUGUACCUGUU
Daphnia pulicaria is the source of this 735-nucleotide RNA transcript. RefSeq lists it as uncharacterized. The record is from RefSeq and is a predicted model, not a curated record. The transcript is spliced from 4 exons. NCBI's taxonomy places the organism in Eukaryota, Metazoa, Arthropoda, Branchiopoda, Diplostraca, Daphniidae.